This 253-nucleotide ribosomal RNA is filed under the name uncultured bacterium. RNAcentral describes it as "partial 16S ribosomal RNA". It matches the Rfam family "Bacterial small subunit ribosomal RNA", at positions 524 to 776 of the family's 1533-position model. The record is from RNAcentral.
UACGUAGGUGACAAGCGUUGUCCGGAUUUACUGGGCGUAAAGAGCGCGCAGGCGGUCGAUCAAGUCGAUUGUGAAAGCCCCCGGCUCAACUGGGGAGGGUCAUUCGAUACUGAUCGACUCGAAGGCAGGAGAGGGUAGUGGAAUUCCCGGUGUAGUGGUGAAAUGCGUAGAUAUCGGGAGGAACGCCAGUGGCGAAGGCGACUACCUGGCCUGUUCUUGACGCUGAGGCGCGAAAGCUAGGGGAGCAAACGGG